RNAcentral lists this long non-coding RNA (951 nucleotides) under Capsicum annuum. Its description in RNAcentral is "long non-coding RNA (CANN_LNC005967)". The record is from RNAcentral. Lineage: Eukaryota; Viridiplantae; Streptophyta; Magnoliopsida; Solanales; Solanaceae.
UUCAAAAUGAAGAUAGGAUACUUUUAUUUAUCAUUAUAAAUGGUCACAACAAACCAUGAAUUAGUCUUUGUUGUUGGUCUCAAGGACUUUUUGUCCAUGAUAAGAUGUUGGACAGUAGCAAGUACGUGUGCUUAUGUCACAUAGUGGAGCCCCAAGUUCGCAUUUUAAGUAGGUAAUACAGUCAUCAUCUUUAUUGCACGAAAGCCCAUUGCUUCCUUGUCCUGAUUACACCAUUAACAUUGUUGACUGAGUUUAUAUUUUAAAAACAGCAACUAGAAUUAUCAUAAUCAAUGUAUUGAAAAGGGAUAAGAAUUGUUCAUAAGUGGAACAUAAAAGAGAGUUGGAUUAAUACCAUAAUUAUACCUCUUUGUAACUUAAUUGUUAUCUUGGCAAUUUAUUUAUCGGGAAGAAAAGGCUGCAUCAUAAUUUCGUGUCUGUUCAUCCCAAAUGUUGACUUUGAUCCUUUCUUAUGUUUUUCAUUUUUCAAGUAUUUUAUUUUAUUCUCUAAUACACAUUUAAUUGACUGAGAACCGUAUGUGUUACCCAUCUUUGCAAGUCAUGAUUCAUAUUUUAACCCCACAGAAAGAAUCUUUUAUAAGAAAAGAGUCCUAGUACUCAAAAUGCCCGAAUGAGUUGUUGCAAUCUUAAAACGAACAAUAAACUAUAUUUGAAGUAUGAAAAAUAUUUAAUAAUUAUUAAACAUGAAAAGGUGCUAUAGCCUGCACCUUUUAGGGAAACAAAAAAGAUGCUACCACCUCAAAAUUUCUCAACAAAUUGUGACUAUAGCCUGCACGUAGAAUAUGAAUUACUGAGUAAUAUAGGUAAAUAGAUUAAAAAAAUGCUUACCUAACAAAACAAGCAAAAAAGAAACCAAGAAAAUCUUUAGGAACGUUGCCUUCUCCAUUCUCUUCCAAGUGCAGUAGUAGUACAAGAAUAACUAUAUGAUUUAAU